AUUGAACGCUGGCGGUAUGCUUAACACAUGCAAGUCGAACGGCAGCACAGUAUGUAGCAAUACAUAUGGGUGGCGAGUGGCGGACGGGUGAGUAACGCGUAGGAAUCUACCCUAAAGCGGGGGACAACCCGGGGAAACUCGGGCUAAUACCGCAUAAUCUCGAAAGAGUAAAGCUGGGGCAACCUGGCACUUUAGGAGGAGCCUGCGUCCGAUUAGCUAGUUGGUGAGGUAAAGGCUCACCAAGGCGAUGAUCGGUAGCUGGUCUGAGAGGAUGAUCAGCCACACGGGGACUGAGACACGGCCCAGACUCCUGCGGGAGGCAGCAGUGGGGAAUAUUGGACAAUGGGGGCAACCCUGAUCCAGCAAUACCGCGUGUGUGAAGAAGGCCUUAGGGUUGUAAAGCACUUUAGUUGGGGAAGAAGGAUAGUUGUUUAAGAGAUGAUUAUUUUGACGGUACCCAAAGAAUAAGCACCGGCUAACUCUGUGCCAGCAGCCGCCGUAA
Molecule: ribosomal RNA, 502 nt
Filed under: uncultured bacterium
Lineage: Bacteria
Description: partial 16S ribosomal RNA
Rfam family: Bacterial small subunit ribosomal RNA
Source: RNAcentral